AGCUGCCAAAGGGGGAUAUGCACACAAAACAGGGGCUUUUCUUAAAGUUAUUUUCAUCCUUGUUUCUUUAUGCUGCUCGUUUCUGUUAAACAUUGGUAUAUUCUUUUAUGGGCUGGCCAAUUCAAAAGUUUAUUACAGUAUUAUACAGAAUUUGCAUUUCUGUUCUGAACUUAUGUUAUAGACCACUUGAUUACUUGUUACUGCCAUUCAGGUAAAGUUAUAUUCUAAAAGGAGACAGAGCAUGUUAUUCUCAGCAACCAUGACUGAGAAAGUUGAUGAGCUUGCCAAUCUUUCCUUGAAUAAACAAGUACGCUUGUCAGCUGAUCCAACAGCAAAGCAACUAGCUGCAUUAACUGAAGAAUAGGGAUUAAAAUGACAAACCUCUUCACUACGAGGCAUGGAUUGACUAAUAGAGGAAUGAGCUCGUGGGCUGAUGUGUUAAGUCCUUUGCAGAUAAGUUUGAUCAAAGAUUUGGAAAUGAAAGAGAUGGAGUUAAUGAGACUGAGAAUGAACAAGAUAUGAGUAGAUGAUAAAUUUGCCAACAACAGUCCCACUAUGGCUCGUGUGGAUGGAAGGAAGGAUUGGAGCUUGUUCAUAAUUGAGGCUUGUUUAUGGAAUGAAUUCAACAAAUUCCUGGCUAGACUUAGUUGUAGAUUCGUAAAUAUUUACUGUGUUUAGUUAGUUUAUAUCUUAUCAAUCCCAUAGUUUUCUCUUUUA
Molecule: long non-coding RNA, 717 nt
Organism: Salvia hispanica
Lineage: Eukaryota; Viridiplantae; Streptophyta; Magnoliopsida; Lamiales; Lamiaceae
Source: RefSeq, a predicted model, not a curated record